AGCGAACGCUGGCGGCAGGCCUAACACAUGCAAGUCGAACGAACCUUUCGGGGUUAGUGGCGGACGGGUGGGUAACACGUGGGAACGUGCCUUUAGGUUCGGAAUAACUCAGGGAAACUUGUGCUAAUACCGCAUGUGCCCUUCGGGGGAAAGAUGAAUCGCCUUUAGAGCGGCCCGCGGCUGAUUAGCUAGUGGGUUGAGGUGAUGGCUCACCAAGGCGACGAUCAGUAGCUGGACUGAGAGGACGAUCGGCCACAGUGGGACUGCGACACGGCCCAAACGCCGACGCGAGGUAGCAGCGGGGAAGCUUGCGCAAUGUUCCAGCGCCUCACGACGCCGUGCCGCGUGGACGAUGAAGCUCCAAGGAGUGUAGAAUGCUUACACAGGAGACGAUCAUCAAAGAACCCGAGGAAGAAACCCCGGCUACUCUCGUG
RNAcentral lists this ribosomal RNA (434 nucleotides) under uncultured bacterium. Its description in RNAcentral is "partial 16S ribosomal RNA". It matches the Rfam family "Bacterial small subunit ribosomal RNA", at positions 29 to 507 of the family's 1533-position model. The record is from RNAcentral.